GUGCCAGCCGCCGCGGUAAUACGUAGGGGGCAAGCGUUGUCCGGAAUUACUGGGCGUAAAGCGCGUGUAGGCGGGACGGCAAGUCGGACGUGAAAGGCUCGGGCUCAACCCGAGACGGCCGUUCGAAACUGCCGUUCUUGAGGGUCGAAGAGGAGUGUGGAAUUCCUGGUGUAGCGGUGAAAUGCGUAGAGAUCAGGAGGAACACCCGUGGCGAAGGCGGCACUCUGGUCGACAUCUGACGCUGAGACGCGAAAGCGUGGGGAGCGAACGGGAUUAGAAACCCUGGUAGUCC
Molecule: ribosomal RNA, 292 nt
Filed under: uncultured bacterium
Lineage: Bacteria
Description: partial 16S ribosomal RNA
Rfam family: Bacterial small subunit ribosomal RNA
Source: RNAcentral